This is a long non-coding RNA of Carcharodon carcharias (great white shark), 1189 nucleotides long. RefSeq lists it as uncharacterized. Lineage: Eukaryota; Metazoa; Chordata; Chondrichthyes; Lamniformes; Lamnidae. The transcript has 5 exons. The record is from RefSeq and is a predicted model, not a curated record.
ACGUACUUGACGCCCCACAGGAGGGAUUACUCUGAAAACACAAACAAGGAACUUUAUUUGGACCAGAAAUAUUGGAAUCACAACUGUUUCAUCAAUGCCUCAGACUCACAGACUCAAUUCAAACUGGUCAAAUUUGCAUACAAUGAGAAUCUUGGAGUAACAGAAUAAAGACAGGCUAGAAAUGGCAGAAUGACCUGAAUAAAUUCUACCUUUACGCUCAUUUGUGAAGUUCUUUAUAUCUGAACUCUCUUCUCUGCAUCUUAAGGAAGAAUCAACUAUCAACACCGCUGAAGAUAUUUCCAUUGGAACUGGAUUUGAACCCAUGUCUCAAGAGGAGGAUAAAAGUGAACAAAGUAAUACAACACUGAAAGGGAGUCCUGCACCUAUGCAGAAGAAGAAACGAAAGCAAAAGUGAAAGUGAGUAAAAAGAAGAUUGGGUGACCCAGAAGAGAAACGCCAUUCUCCAGAGAGGCACAGAGGAGGCAGGACAGAAAUUGCAGAGAGCAGAUUUCCCAGAAGAACAAACAAAAGUCCCAGAAACCAGGGGGUGGGACAAAAGGUCCCAGGAAGACAAUGAAGUCAAGGGAAAAGUACAGAAACCCGAACAAGGUCCUGUUCAGUGAAGUUAAAGUAAGGAGCAAAGCAAAAGGCCCCAAAUUAAAGAGAGAAAGCUGUGAGGUGCAGAAUCAAGGUCAAGUGGGCUUGCGAUAUGCCAGAAGAUCCAAAGAGACAGCCAAAGGUUGGUGACUCCUUACUACAGCCCUGUGAAGCAGUGGUGUUCUGUUGGCACAGCUGAGUCUAUGAGAGUGCGUGGAAGGCGAAGCUUGAAUGCACGUGGCGAACCGAGGAGAGGAACAUCAGAGGGAGAGAUCGAAGCCUGGAGACUUCCGAGAGAAAGCUUCACUUGGGGGAAGAUUCCAAGACAAGUUCUUUGAGAGUGGAGAUUGGAAAUCCAUGUGGAAGACAGUUUCCAUGAGACCGAUUGGCUCACAGUGUGAUAAGCAUCUGGGGGAGUUGAUGAGAGAUUCAUAGUAUCUGUUUGGGGUGGCAUCUGUCACUUGGUUUCAGAGUGUGGUGUGUCUGACCACAGGUCGUCUGUUGGCUUACAUGUACUGUGAACAUUAGAGUGCCAGAUAGAUUUUUUGUAACCUGUAUUAUUCUUACAAAUCUGGUAUCAUUGUAGGUGAAG